This 429-nucleotide ribosomal RNA is filed under the name Gemmatimonadota bacterium. RNAcentral's name for it is "Gemmatimonadetes bacterium partial 16S ribosomal RNA". It matches the Rfam family "Bacterial small subunit ribosomal RNA", at positions 355 to 776 of the family's 1533-position model. Lineage: Bacteria; Pseudomonadati; Gemmatimonadota. The record is from RNAcentral.
UAGGGAAUCUUCGGCAAUGGACGAAAGUCUGACCGAGCAACGCCGCGUGAGUGAAGAAGGUUUUCGGAUCGUAAAACUCUGUUGUUAGAGAAGAACAAGGACGUUAGUAACUGAACGUCCCCUGACGGUAUCUAACCAGAAAGCCACGGCUAACUACGUGCCAGCAGCCGCGGUAAUACGUAGGUGGCAAGCGUUGUCCGGAUUUAUUGGGCGUAAAGCGAGCGCAGGCGGUUUCUUAAGUCUGAUGUGAAAGCCCCCGGCUCAACCGGGGAGGGUCAUUGGAAACUGGGAGACUUGAGUGCAGAAGAGGAGAGUGGAAUUCCAUGUGUAGCGGUGAAAUGCGUAGAUAUAUGGAGGAACACCAGUGGCGAAGGCGGCUCUCUGGUCUGUAACUGACGCUGAGGCUCGAAAGAGUGGGGAGCAAACAGG